RNAcentral lists this ribosomal RNA (391 nucleotides) under uncultured bacterium. RNAcentral's name for it is "bacterial SSU rRNA". It matches the Rfam family "Bacterial small subunit ribosomal RNA", at positions 527 to 896 of the family's 1533-position model. The record is from RNAcentral.
AGAGGGCGCGAGCGUUGUCCGGAAUCACUGGGCGUAAAGGGCGCGUAGGUGGCCACCAUAAGGCCGCGGUGAAAGUUCGGGGCUCAACCCCGGAUCGGCCGCGGCGACUGUGGGGCUCGGGUACUGUAGAGGCAGAUGGAAUUCCGGGUGUAGCGGUGGAAUGCGUAGAGAUCCGGAAGAACACCAGUGGCGAAGGCGGUCUGCUGGGCAGUGGGCUCGAAAGGGCCCUUCAACCGACACUGAGGCGCGACAGCGUGGGGAGCAAACAGGAUUAGAUACCCUGGUAGUCCACGCCGUAAACGAUGGGCACUAGGUGCUCCGGGGAGCGACCCUUGGGGUACCGGCGCUAACGCAUGAAGUGCCCCGCCUGGGGAGUACGGCCGCAAGGCUG